Molecule: ribosomal RNA, 253 nt
Filed under: uncultured bacterium
Lineage: Bacteria
Description: partial 16S ribosomal RNA
Rfam family: Bacterial small subunit ribosomal RNA
Source: RNAcentral
UACGGAGGAUCCGAGCGUUAUCCGGAUUUAUUGGGUUUAAAGGGAGCGUAGGCGGGUUGUCAAGUCAGUUGUGAAAGUUUGCGGCUCAACCGUAAAAUUGCAGUUGAUACUGGCAUCCUUGAGUACAGUAGAGGUAGGCUGAAUUCGUGGUGUAGCGGUGAAAUGCUUAGAUAUCACGAAGAACUCCGAUUGCGAAGGCAGCCUGCUGGACUGUAACUGACGCUGAUGCUCGAAAGUGUGGGUAUCAAACAGG